GACGAACGCUGGCGGCGUGCUUAACACAUGCAAGUCGAACGGAAAGGCCCUGCUUUUGUGGGGUGCUCGAGUGGCGAACGUGUGAGUAACACGUGAGUAACCUGCCCUGGACUUUGGGAUAACUUCAGGAAACUGGGGCUAAUACCGGAUAGGAGCUCCUGCUGCAUGGUGGGGGUUGGAAAGUUUCGGCGGUUGGGGAUGGACUCGCGGCUUAUCAGCUUGUUGGUGGGGUAGUGGCUUACCAAGGCUUUGGCGGGUAGCCGGCCUGAGAGGGUGAACGGCCACAUUGGGACUGAGAUACGGCCCAGACUCCUACGGGAGGCAGCAGUGGGGAAUAUUGCACAAUGGGCGGAAGCCUGAUGCAGAAACGCCGCGUGCGGGAUGACGGCCUUCGGGUUGUAAACCGCUUUCGCCUGUGACGAAGCGUGAGUGACGGUAAUGGGUAAAGAAGCACCGGCUAACUACGUG
Molecule: ribosomal RNA, 468 nt
Filed under: uncultured bacterium
Lineage: Bacteria
Description: partial 16S ribosomal RNA
Rfam family: Bacterial small subunit ribosomal RNA
Source: RNAcentral